UCGAGCGGAAGGCCACUUCGGUGGUACUCGAGCGGCGAACGGGUGAGUAACACGUGAGUAAUCUGCCCUUGGCUUUGGGAUAGCCACCGGAAACGGUGAUUAAUACCGGAUACGACCACUUCUCGCAUGGGAUGGUGGUGGAAAGUUUUUCGGCCAGGGAUGUGCUCGCGGCCUAUCAGCUUGAUGGUGAGGUAAUGGCUCACCAUGGCUUCGACGGGUAGCCGGCCUGAGAGGGUGACCGGUCACACUGGGACUGAGACACGGCCCAGACUCCUACGGGAGGCAGCAGUGGGGAAUAUUGGACAAUGGGCGGAAGCCUGAUCCAGCAACGCCGCGUGAGGGAUGACGGCCUUCGGGUUGUAAACCUCUUUCAGCAGGGACGAAGCGCAAGUGACGGUACCUGCAGAAGAAGCACCGGCCAACUACGUGCCAGCAGCCGCGGUAAUACGUAGGGUGCGAGCGUUGUCCGGAAUUAUUGGGCGUAAAGGGCUCGUAGGCGGUUUGUCGCGUCGGGAGUGAAAACCAGGUGCUUAACACCUGGCUUGCUUUCGAUACGGGCAGACUAGAGGUAUUCAGGGGAGAACGGAAUUCCUGGUGUAGCGGUGAAAUGCGCAGAUAUCAGGAGGAACACCGGUGGCGAAGGCGGUUCUCUGGGAAUAUCCUGACGCUGAGGAGCGAAAGUGUGGGGAGCGAACAGGAUUAGAUACCCUGGUAGUCCACACCGUAAACGUUGGGCGCUAGGUGUGGGGUCCAUUCCACGGAUUCCGUGCCGCAGCUAACGCAUUAAGCGCCCCGCCUGGGGAGUACGGCCGCAAGGCUAAAACUCAAAGGAAUUGACGGGGGCCCGCACAAGCGGCGGAGCAUGCGGAUUAAUUCGAUGCAACGCGAAGAACCUUACCUGGGUUUGACAUACACCCUGCCGCUCCAGAGAUGGGGCUUCUUUUGGGGGUGUACAGGUGGUGCAUGGCUGUCGUCAGCUCGUGUCGUGAGAUGUUGGGUUAAGUCCCGCAACGAGCGCAACCCUCGUUCUAUGUUGCCAGCAUGCCCUUCGGGGUGAUGGGGACUCAUAGGAGACUGCCGGGGUCAACUCGGAGGAAGGUGGGGAUGACGUCAAGUCAUCAUGCCCCUUAUGUCCAGGGCUUCACGCAUGCUACAAUGGCCGGUACAAAGGGCUGCGAUCCCGUAAGGGGGAGCGAAUCCCAAAAAGCCGGUCUCAGUUCGGAUUGGGGUCUGCAACUCGACCCCAUGAAGUCGGAGUCGCUAGUAAUCGCAGAUCAGCAACGCUGCGGUGAAUACGUUCCCGGGCCUUGUACACACCGCCCGUCACGUCA
RNAcentral lists this ribosomal RNA (1331 nucleotides) under Nocardioides sp. Its description in RNAcentral is "bacterial SSU rRNA". It matches the Rfam family "Bacterial small subunit ribosomal RNA", at positions 62 to 1404 of the family's 1533-position model. Lineage: Bacteria; Bacillati; Actinomycetota; Actinomycetes; Propionibacteriales; Nocardioidaceae. The record is from RNAcentral.